This 221-nucleotide unclassified non-coding RNA is filed under the name Hevea brasiliensis (rubber tree). The record is from RNAcentral. Lineage: Eukaryota; Viridiplantae; Streptophyta; Magnoliopsida; Malpighiales; Euphorbiaceae.
GGCGGUUCGCGGGUGCGCCCUGCGCAGCGUUGCUGCGAGGGGUACCGUUGACCGGGGAAGCGUUCGGGUCGGCGGGGGGACCGCCACGGCCAGCUGCAGGAGGGGCACGGGGGGCGCGAGGGUAGCCGGGCACUCCGUAAGCCUGAGGAGGGGCCUGUCCGUACGGAGCGGGAAUGGGCAUGCCCGGAACCUGGUUAUUCGGAGCGUAACGAGGACGAGGG